This 429-nucleotide ribosomal RNA is filed under the name Pseudomonadota bacterium. RNAcentral's name for it is "Proteobacteria bacterium partial 16S ribosomal RNA". It matches the Rfam family "Bacterial small subunit ribosomal RNA", at positions 355 to 776 of the family's 1533-position model. Lineage: Bacteria; Pseudomonadati; Pseudomonadota. The record is from RNAcentral.
UGGGGAAUAUUGGACAAUGGGCGAAAGCCUGAUCCAGCCAUGCCGCGUGUGUGAAGAAGGUCUUCGGAUUGUAAAGCACUUUAAGUUGGGAGGAAGGGCAGUAAGCGAAUACCUUGCUGUUUUGACGUUACCGACAGAAUAAGCACCGGCUAACUCUGUGCCAGCAGCCGCGGUAAUACAGAGGGUGCAAGCGUUAAUCGGAAUUACUGGGCGUAAAGCGCGCGUAGGUGGUUCGUUAAGUUGAAUGUGAAAGCCCCGGGCUCAACCUGGGAACUGCAUCCAAAACUGGCUAGCUAGAGUAGGGCAGAGGGUGGUGGAAUUUCCUGUGUAGCGGUGAAAUGCGUAGAUAUAGGAAGGAACACCAGUGGCGAAGGCGACCACCUGGGCUCAUACUGACACUGAGGUGCGAAAGCGUGGGGAGCAAACAGG